Molecule: long non-coding RNA, 1036 nt
Organism: Anolis carolinensis (green anole)
Lineage: Eukaryota; Metazoa; Chordata; Lepidosauria; Squamata; Anolidae
Exons: 5
Source: RefSeq, a predicted model, not a curated record
AUUGGCUAUCUUUGCUGCAGCUGACAGAAAUUUUGCAGUCAAACAAGCUGAGCUGGCCACUCCUGGUUAGUUUACAGGGAAGAAGCCCAGGACCACCUUCUUUCCUUGCAAAUUGUCUCAGGAGCUAGAUUUGAUUUAGAAAUCCCAGCAACACUGGAGCAACACAUCACUGAGAGAACAAGAACUGCUGCACAGCAAAUUCUGUAAACCCAGCCACCUAAGAUGAUUUGCUCGCUGGGGGAAAAUUGCACUCACUCCCAUUCCAUGUAGAUAAAUUGGACCAGAUGGACUACUAUAUCUCAACACUGCUGGAAGGACAGUAUCCUCCACAACACAUGCAGAGGCAUACAGAACCAAGAUGUUCAGAGGAUACACCCUUAUAUGUGGGGUACCUUUGAAAGACAGAAGCAAAAUGAUAAAGAUUUUAAAGAGUAAUUUAAAUAGAGCACCAGAAGAAGAAAUGUUUCCAGUUGUUAUCAACAAAGACACAGCAGCUGAAAAGACCAAAACUGCCAAAUGUGCACUCUCUCAAUUUCUGAUCUCUGGUCAAACUUUUAAUUAUGCAGACUACAGUAGUAUAAGGGGACUCAGCCAAGAACAACCUGCAACACUCACAGCAAGUGACAGAUCAUGCCUGGAAACUUCAAAAUGAGUCAAAGCAGAUAUGAAGGACUGUCAUUCCUUCCUGUAUGAAGGUGGGAGGCAGGCCAGCUUUCUGAAAUGAGUCUACGGCAGAGCUGGAAAGGACAGAGCCCAGGUCCUCCUGGGCCUCCACUUGCUGCUGUAACAGGAAGGAAAGCCUCUCUUUCCCUCCUUUAGCUAUAAUGGAAUAUGACUGAGGAGGCCGGGUAGAACUGACUGAUGAAAUUAACCAAGAAAUCUGCAACAGAGGGGGCUCCAGAAGCAAAGAUCUUCCUCAUCACCCUGGAUAAAAUCAACAGGGGGAGGGGAGGCAUAAAGAAGGCAGAAAGAGAGUGCCCAUGCUUUCAGUUCCCUCCAACUGGUACCUGCUUAUGGACUUCCUCACCUUGACGCU